This 496-nucleotide ribosomal RNA is filed under the name Colletotrichum gloeosporioides. Its description in RNAcentral is "eukaryotic LSU rRNA". The stretch from base 178 to 331 matches the Rfam family "5.8S ribosomal RNA". The record is from RNAcentral. Lineage: Eukaryota; Fungi; Ascomycota; Sordariomycetes; Glomerellales; Glomerellaceae.
CAUUACUGAGUUUACGCUCUACAACCCUUUGUGAACAUACCUAUAACUGUUGCUUCGGCGGGUAGGGUCUCCGUGACCCUCCCGGCCUCCCGCCCCCGGGCGGGUCGGCGCCCGCCGGAGGAUAACCAAACUCUGAUUUAACGACGUUUCUUCUGAGUGGUACAAGCAAAUAAUCAAAACUUUUAACAACGGAUCUCUUGGUUCUGGCAUCGAUGAAGAACGCAGCGAAAUGCGAUAAGUAAUGUGAAUUGCAGAAUUCAGUGAAUCAUCGAAUCUUUGAACGCACAUUGCGCCCGCCAGCAUUCUGGCGGGCAUGCCUGUUCGAGCGUCAUUUCAACCCUCAAGCUCUGCUUGGUGUUGGGGCCCUACAGCCGAUGUAGGCCCUCAAAGGUAGUGGCGGACCCUCCCGGAGCCUCCUUUGCGUAGUAACUUUACGUCUCGCACUGGGAUCCGGAGGGACUCUUGCCGUAAAACCCCCAAUUUUCCAAAGGUUGAC